CGGCAUGGCGGGUGCUAUACAUGCAGUCGAGCGGACUGAUGGGAGCUUGCUCCCAUCAGUCAGCGGCGGACGGGUGAGUAACACGUGGGUAACCUGCCUGUAAGACUGGGAUAACUCCGGGAAACCGGGGCUAAUACCGGAUAACUCAUUUCCUCGCAUGAGGAAAUGUUGAAAGAUGGCUUCUUGCUAUCACUUACAGAUGGACCCGCGGCGCAUUACCUAGUUGGUGAGGUAACGGCUCACCAAGGCAACAAUGCGUAGCCAACCUGAAAGGGUGAUCGGCCACACUGGGACUGAAACACGGCCCAAACUCCUACGGGAGGCAGCAGUAGGGAAUCUUCCGCAAUGGACAAAAGUCUGACGGAGCAACGCCGCGUGAGUGAUGAAGGUUUUCGGAUCGUAAAACUCUGUUGUUAGGGAAAAACAAGUACCGUUCGAAUAGGGCGGUACCUUGACGGUACCUAACCAAAAAGCCACGGCUAACUACGUGCCAGCAGCCGCGGUAAUACGUAGGUGGCAAGCGUUGUCCGGAAUUAUUGGGCGUAAAGCGCGCGCAGGUGGUUUCUUAAUUCUGAUGUGAAAGCCCACGGCUCACCCGUGAAGGGUCAUUGAAAACUGGGGAACUUGAUUGCAAAAAAGGAAAGUGAAAUUCCAAGUGUAGCGGUGAAAUGCGUAAAUAUUUGGAGGAACACCAGUGGCGAAGGCGACUUUCUGGUCUGUAACUGACACUGAGGCGCGAAAGCGUGGGGGAGCAAACAGGAUUAGAUACCCUGGUAGUCCACGCCGUAAACGAUGAGUGCUAGUGUUAGAGGGUUUCCGUCCUUUUAGUGCUGCAGCUAACGCAUUAGCACUCCGCCUGGGAAGUACGGUCGCAAGACUGAACUCAAAGGGAUUGACGGGGGCCCGCACAAGCGGUGGAGCAUGUGUUUAAUUCGAAGCACGCGAAGAACCCUUACAGUCGUGGACGUCGCUGACGACCUAGAGAUAGGGCUGUGCUCUUCGUGCGACGAAGUGACAGGUGGUGCAUGGUGUCGUCGUCUCGUGUCAGUGAAUG
Molecule: ribosomal RNA, 1054 nt
Filed under: Rossellomorea aquimaris
Lineage: Bacteria; Bacillati; Bacillota; Bacilli; Caryophanales; Bacillaceae
Description: bacterial SSU rRNA
Rfam family: Bacterial small subunit ribosomal RNA
Source: RNAcentral